AUUGUCAAAUCAUGAUCAAAAGACUUGCCAAAAAAAUUGUUUAAAAAUAUGGACACUUACCUCAAUUUGAUCUUGGAGAAUCGACAUCUUUUUGCACCGUACGUGCAUCAUGACCUUCAUAAAACUAUGUGCAAUAUUUGCAUCUUUUUCAUGCAAAUCCAAACAUUCACAUUCAUGAUUCUUUUUUUCGUAUUUUCUUGAGAGGAGUUUAACAUUAUAGCAUUUUUACCUUAAGCAUCUUAGGUGUGAGAUAUCUUUCUCUUCUUGGCUUCGGGAAAUUUAAUUCUCUUAGACUUGGUAAUGUUGAAUGAGAGGAGAUCAUCAACGGGAACUCUAGGAGUUCUCUUAGCCUUUGGAAUCUCAAAGGAGAGAAAAUCAUGCACUGAAACGACAUCUUCUUAAGCGGGAAUAGUGAGAAGACCCUGAAACAACUCAUACCUUUCGAAAAUGUUGCUAAGAUCCUUUAGAGGCUGUUGGUGUCCUUGGAGAAUAAACACCAUUUUUGCCAUAGUAUCGGCAUCACAUUCCCUACAAGUUUAUUAGUAGAGUAAUUAGGUCAAUCAUCACAAAAUCAGAAGGAAAAAAAAGAAGGAAAGAAUGAAAAUUUAAUUACUUAGGAUCAAAUAUCGGUAAAAAGGCUUCAUAUUUUCCGGCUUCUCUAUCAAAAGCUUUCUUCAUUGAUUGUAAGAUUGCAGACGAUCGUGUUUUGAGAUCUUGAACUCUCUUAGACUUGGGAAUUCAAAGGAGAGACGAUCGUGUUUGCAAAAGGUCCAUCUUUGUCCACAUCCAACCAUGGGCUAAAAAAACAAGAUCAAAAUCAUUUGUUAAUCUCAUCAAAUUAAUUCUUCUAUUAUCCUUGGACAAACAAAAUUCAAUAUGUUGUGUCUAGCCCAUAUCCUUCCUUAAUGUUCAAAAUUCUCCAUAGAAUAUAUUUUGUUCAAGAUUUGUACUUAAUUCAUUAUUUCUUUUGAUGGUUUG
Molecule: small RNA, 978 nt
Filed under: Arabidopsis thaliana (thale cress)
Lineage: Eukaryota; Viridiplantae; Streptophyta; Magnoliopsida; Brassicales; Brassicaceae
Description: ATSL017230
Source: RNAcentral